Molecule: ribosomal RNA, 893 nt
Filed under: uncultured Bacillota bacterium
Lineage: Bacteria; Bacillati; Bacillota
Description: bacterial SSU rRNA
Rfam family: Bacterial small subunit ribosomal RNA
Source: RNAcentral
GACGAACGCUGGCGGCGUGCCUAAGACAUGCAAGUCGAGCGGGGUUUCGGGGCUUCGGCCCUGAGACCCAGCGGCGGACGGGUGAGUAACACGUGGAUAACCUGCCCUCUGCUCUGGGAUAACAGGCCGAAAGGCCUGCUAAUACCGGAUAAGCUCACGGACCCGCAUGGGUUUGGGAGAAAAGGCGCUGGAGUCAGUGGCGCUGGCAGAGGAGGGGUCCGCGGCCCAUUAGCUGGUUGGCGGGGUAACGGCCCACCAAGGCGACGAUGGGUAGCCGGCCUGAGAGGGCGACCGGCCACACUGGGACUGAGACACGGCCCAGACUCCUACGGGAGGCAGCAGUCGGGAAUUUUGCACAAUGGCCGAAAGGCUGAUGCAGCAACGCCGCGUGAGCGAAGAAGGCCUUCGGGUUGUAAAGCUCUGUUGCCUGCGAAGAAGGGCCCCGUCAGGAAAUGGGCGGGGUUUGACGGUAGCAGGCGAGGAAGCCCCGGCAAACUACGUGCCAGCAGCCGCGGUAAUACGUAGGGGGCGAGCGUUGUCCGGAAUUACUGGGCGUAAAGGGCGUGUAGGCGGCCUGUUAAGUCAGGGGUGAAAGACCGGGGCUCAACCCCGGGGGUGCCUCUGAAACUGGCGGGCUUGAGUGCUCUAGAGGGCAGUGGAAUUCCCGGUGUAGCAGUGAAAUGCGUAGAGAUCGGGAGGAACACCAGUGGCGAAGGCGGCUGCCUGGGGAGUCACUGACGCUGAGGCGCGAAAGCUAGGGGAGCAAACAGGAUUAGAUACCCUGGUAGUCCUAGCCGUAAACAAUGAGCGCUAUGUGUGAGGGGUAUCGACCCCCCUCGUGCAGUAGCUAACGCAUUAAGCGCUCCGCCUGGGGAGUACGGCCGCAAGGUUGA